RNAcentral lists this ribosomal RNA (472 nucleotides) under uncultured bacterium. RNAcentral's name for it is "bacterial SSU rRNA". It matches the Rfam family "Bacterial small subunit ribosomal RNA", at positions 355 to 825 of the family's 1533-position model. The record is from RNAcentral.
UGGGGAAUAUUGGACAAUGGGCGAAAGCCUGAUCCAGCCAUGCCGCGUGUGUGAAGAAGGUCUUCGGAUUGUAAAGCACUUUAAGUUGGGAGGAAGGGCAUUUACCUAAUACGUAAGUGUUUUGACGUUACCGACAGAAUAAGCACCGGCUAACUCUGUGCCAGCAGCCGCGGUAAUACAGAGGGUGCAAGCGUUAAUCGGAAUUACUGGGCGUAAAGCGCGCGUAGGUGGUUUGUUAAGUUGGAUGUGAAAUCCCCGGGCUCAACCUGGGAACUGCAUUCAAAACUGACAAGCUAGAGUAUGGUAGAGGGUGGUGGAAUUUCCUGUGUAGCGGUGAAAUGCGUAGAUAUAGGAAGGAACACCAGUGGCGAAGGCGACCACCUGGACUGAUACUGACACUGAGGUACGAAAGCGUGGGGAGCAAACAGGAUUAGAUACCCGCGUAGUCCCUGAGCGGGCUGGCAAGGCGCAU